CAAGAUCAAACCCAGGUUGUGACAGCAGGUGUGUUCUGUUUCUCCAAGGCACACUCCCACCCCUGCUAGGCAUGCUAUUAUUGUCUGUGGUGUUAGGUGAAUACCUAGAGGAAUGUUUCCAUUCUGUAACAAAAUUAUAUGUUUUUUUUAAUUUGAAAUAAAUUUUAUGUUAGGUUUUUGGCUCUUGUCCAAGGAAGAACAUGCAGAUAACUAUUCUCACAUGUCGACAUGUUACCGAUUAUAAAACCUCAGAAUCCACCGGCAGCCUUCCUUCUCCUUUCCUGAGAGCCCUAAAAACACAGAAUUUCAAAGACUCGGCGUGUUGUCCAUUGCUAGAACAACCGAAUAUAGUACACGACCUUCCUGCAGCAGUUCUAAGCUACUGUCAAGUAUGGAAAAUCCCAGCAAUUCUGUACUUGUGUUAUACUGAUGUGAUGAAAUUAGACCUAAUCACAGUGGAAGCUUUUAAGCCUAUACUUUCUACCAGAAGCUUGAAGGGUUUGGUUAAGAAUAUUCCCCAAAGCACUGAGAUACUAAAGAAAUUGAUGACAACAAAUGAGAUUCAGAGUAACAUUUAUACAUGAUCUUAAACAUUGUUUUGUAGUGUAUAUUACUUGUCCAUUCCUUUAAGGGGAGCAGCCUGCACUCUUUUGUAGAUUACUUUUGGGGGAUAUAUUUUGAGAAUGAUGAAACGGAAUAAAAUUGUAAAAAAUUAA
This 716-nucleotide long non-coding RNA is filed under the name Homo sapiens (human). Its description in RNAcentral is "non-protein coding lnc-BRWD1-2:2". The record is from RNAcentral. Lineage: Eukaryota; Metazoa; Chordata; Mammalia; Primates; Hominidae.